GUGAGGAAUAUUGGUCAAUGGACGAGAGUCUGAACCAGCCAAGUCGCGUGAAGGAAGACGGUUCUAUGAAUUGUAAACUUCUUUUGUGCAGGAAUAAAGUGGGUAACGUGUAACCUUUUGUAUGUACUGUACGAAUAAGGAUCGGCUAACUCCGUGCCAGCAGCCGCGGUAAUACGGAGGAUCCGAGCGUUAUCCGGAUUUAUUGGGUUUAAAGGGUGCGUAGGUGGAUUGAUAAGUCAGCGGUGAAAGUUUGCAGCUUAACUGUAAAAUUGCCGUUGAAACUGGCGGUCUUGAGUGCAAAUGAGGUAGGCGGAAUGUGUUGUGUAGCGGUGAAAUGCUUAGAUAUAACACAGAACUCCGAUUGCGAAGGCAGCUUACUGGGAUGCAACUGACACUGAUGCACGAAAGCGUGGGUAUCAAACAGGAUUAGAAACCCGAGUAGUCC
Molecule: ribosomal RNA, 445 nt
Filed under: uncultured bacterium
Lineage: Bacteria
Description: partial 16S ribosomal RNA
Rfam family: Bacterial small subunit ribosomal RNA
Source: RNAcentral